GUGUCAGCAGCCGCGGUAAUACCCGCAGCACGAGUGGUGGUCAUUUUUAUUGGGCCUAAAGCGUCCGUAGCCGGUUUGGUAAAUGCCUGGGUAAAUCGAUGCGCUCAACGUAUCGAAUUCCGGGUAGACUGCCAGACUAGAGACCGGGAGAGGUGUGGGGUACUCGAGGGGUAGGGGUAAAAUCCUGUAAUCCUUCGGGGACCACCAGUGGCGAAGGCGCCACACUAGAACGGUUCUGACGGUGAGGGACGAAGCCCUGGGGCGCAAACCGGAUUAGAUACCCGGGUAGUCCAGGGUGUAAACGCUGCUGACUUGGUGUCGGAGGUCCUACGAGGGCUUUCGGUGCCGGAGAGAAGUUGUUAAGUCAGCCGCCUGGGGAGUACGAUCGCAAGAUUGAAACUUAAAUGAAUUGACGGGG
RNAcentral lists this ribosomal RNA (418 nucleotides) under uncultured archaeon. RNAcentral's name for it is "bacterial SSU rRNA". It matches the Rfam family "Archaeal small subunit ribosomal RNA", at positions 455 to 873 of the family's 1478-position model. The record is from RNAcentral.